This 97-nucleotide transfer RNA is filed under the name Siculibacillus sp. Its description in RNAcentral is "tRNA-Sec". It matches the Rfam family "Selenocysteine transfer RNA". Lineage: Bacteria; Pseudomonadati; Pseudomonadota; Alphaproteobacteria; Hyphomicrobiales; Ancalomicrobiaceae. The record is from RNAcentral.
GGAAGAGAAGCGUUCCCCGGUGGGGCGUCCGGACUUCAAAUCCGGGGGAGGCCGCGUGGCGGUCUCCGGUGGGUUCGACUCCCACUCUCUUCCGCCA